This 171-nucleotide ribosomal RNA is filed under the name uncultured bacterium. RNAcentral describes it as "partial 16S ribosomal RNA". The stretch from base 1 to 78 matches the Rfam family "Bacterial small subunit ribosomal RNA", at positions 796 to 873 of the family's 1533-position model. The record is from RNAcentral.
CACGCCGUAAACGAUGAUAACUAGCUGUCCGGGUACUUGGUACUUGGGUGGCGCAGCUAACGCAUUAAGUUAUCCGCCUGGGGAGNACGCGCAGAACCUUACCAGCGUUUGACAUGGUAGGACGGCUUCCAGAGAUGGAUUCCUUCCCUUCGGGGACCUACACACAGGUGC